RNAcentral lists this ribosomal RNA (462 nucleotides) under uncultured bacterium. RNAcentral's name for it is "bacterial SSU rRNA". It matches the Rfam family "Bacterial small subunit ribosomal RNA", at positions 329 to 792 of the family's 1533-position model. The record is from RNAcentral.
UACCAGACUCCUACGGGAGGCAGCAGUGGGGAAUAUUGCACAAUGGGGGGAACCCUGAUGCAGCGACGCCGCGUGGGUGAAGGAGCACCUCGGUGCGUAAAGCCCUAUCGGCAGGGAAGAAAAGCGAACAGGUUCGCCUGGACGGUACCUGACUAAGAAGCCCCGGCUAACUACGUGCCAGCAGCCGCGGUAAUACGUAGGGGGCAAGCGGUAUCCGGAUUUACUGGGUGUAAAGGGAGCGUAGACGGUUAUGUAAGUCUGGAGUGAAAGCCCGGGGCCCAACCCCGGGACUGCUUUGGAAACUGUGUAACUGGAGUACAGGAGGGGCAGGCGGAAUUCCUGGUGUAGCGGUGAAAUGCGUAGAUAUCAGGAGGAACACCGGCGGCGAAGGCGGCCUGCUGGACUGAAACUGACGUUGAGGCUCGAAAGCGUGGGGAGCAAACAGGAUUAGAUACCCCUGUA